Molecule: long non-coding RNA, 329 nt
Filed under: Androctonus crassicauda
Lineage: Eukaryota; Metazoa; Arthropoda; Arachnida; Scorpiones; Buthidae
Source: RNAcentral
CAAACGUAACUUCCUUAUAAUAUAGUGGUUACCAAGAGAACCCUGUACCAGAGGAUCCAGGAACACAAAAGGAAUAUAGCAAAGGAACAGACAAUGACCGCCUUAGCAGAAGCUGCAUACGUGGAGGAACUAGAAAUACAAUGGAAUCAGGAAAAAAUAAUAAAACCCAUAUUUAAAGAAUCCCAAGCCACACUAGAAAAAAAGCUUAGAAAUAUUAAGAGCAAAAACCAAAGGCCCAACAAUAAACAGGGGGAACAGCAAUGGACAUCCCAGAUGCCUGGAAGUGUCUUAUACAGCGGAGUGGGAGAGUAUAGUAAAACCAAAGCCAA